Molecule: small nuclear RNA, 22 nt
Filed under: Arabidopsis thaliana (thale cress)
Lineage: Eukaryota; Viridiplantae; Streptophyta; Magnoliopsida; Brassicales; Brassicaceae
Description: snRNA_00788
Source: RNAcentral
AGAGAUGCUUUUUAAGGUCAAA